This 492-nucleotide ribosomal RNA is filed under the name uncultured bacterium. RNAcentral describes it as "partial 16S ribosomal RNA". It matches the Rfam family "Bacterial small subunit ribosomal RNA", at positions 29 to 507 of the family's 1533-position model. The record is from RNAcentral.
AGUGAACGCUGGCGGUAGGCCUAACACAUGCCAGUCGAACGGCAGCACAGUAAGAGCUUGCUCUUACGGGUGGCGAGUGGCGGACGGGUGAGGAAUAGAUCGGAAUCUACUUUUUCGUGGGGGAUAACGUAGGGAAACUUACGCUAAUACCGCAUACGACCUACGGGUGAAAGCAGGGGAUCUUCGGACCUUGCGCGAUUGAAUGAGCCGAUGUCGGAUUAGCUAGUUGGCGGGGUAAAGGCCCACCAAGGCGACGAUCCGUAGCUGGUCUGAGAGGAUGAUCAGCCACACUGGAACUGAGACACGGUCCAGACUCCUACGGGAGGCAGCAGUGGGGAAUAUUGGACAAUGGGCGCAAGCCUGAUCCAGCCAUACCGCGUGGGUGAAGAAGGCCUUCGGGUUGUAAAGCCCUUUUGUUGGGAAAGAAAAGCAGCAGGUUAAUACCCCGCUGUUCUGACGGUACCCAAAGAAUAAGCACCGGCUAACUUCGUG